Molecule: ribosomal RNA, 417 nt
Filed under: uncultured bacterium
Lineage: Bacteria
Description: bacterial SSU rRNA
Rfam family: Bacterial small subunit ribosomal RNA
Source: RNAcentral
AAGCGGGGGACCUGCAAGGGCCUCGCGCUAUAGGAGCGGCCGAUGUCCGAUUAGCUAGUUGGUGGGGUAAAGGCCCACCAAGGCGACGAUCGGUAGCUGGUCUGAGAGGAUGAUCAGCCACACUGGGACUGAGACACGGCCCAGACUCCUACGGGAGGCAGCAGUGGGGAAUUUUGGACAAUGGGGGCAACCCUGAUCCAGCCAUGCCGCGUGCGGGAAGAAGGCCUUCGGGUUGUAAACCGCUUUUGGUCGGGAAGAAAAGGUUCAUCCUAAUAGGGUGGACUAUUGACGGUACCGGCAGAAUAAGCACCGGCUAACUACGUGCCAGCAGCCGCGGUAAUACGUAGGGUGCGAGCGUUAAUCGGAAUUACUGGGCGUAAAGCGUGCGCAGGCGGUGAAAGCCCCGGGCUCAACCUG